Manis javanica (Malayan pangolin) is the source of this 459-nucleotide long non-coding RNA. RefSeq lists it as uncharacterized. The record is from RefSeq and is a predicted model, not a curated record. Lineage: Eukaryota; Metazoa; Chordata; Mammalia; Pholidota; Manidae.
CGCCCUCGUCCCGCCGGCACGCCUUAGGGGCUCCGCCGGCGUCGGGUUCUGGCAGCGGCGGGGCUCCGCUUCCAGAAGGCGAGCGCUCGGGACCCGGCGGCCGCGUGUGCACGUGGGAGCACAGAGCCGGGAGCCGCAGCCACCCACCGCUGCCCGGUGGGAUCUGCCUGCACACGCGGCACACCGCCUCGGUCGCUACAGACAGACUUACCGGAAGCGCCGAGCUUUUGCUGGGGCGCGCGUCCUGCCAGGAGGGGCCCCAGAGAUGCCGGUUUGUUGUGUUGCACACCACAUGCCCUGCAGUGGCGUCCAGGCCAAGUCGGGCUCAAAAGCCGCCCCAGAAAAACCCACAGAGGGGGGAAAAGUGAUCACCUUUAUGUGCCGGAAUUAGAGCGCUUUGUACUCCAUGUGAGAUUUGACUUUGUCCAAAUUUUUUACCAUAAACAAAUUGCUUUUGUA